Molecule: microRNA precursor, 76 nt
Filed under: Myotis myotis
Lineage: Eukaryota; Metazoa; Chordata; Mammalia; Chiroptera; Vespertilionidae
Also listed under: 1 other name
Description: mir-9229 microRNA precursor family
Rfam family: mir-9229 microRNA precursor family
Source: Rfam by way of RNAcentral
GAGACACUCUUCUGGGGCAAGACUUGCUUCAGUGGGGCUUUGGUGCUCACUGAGUCUUCCCCCUGAGUGUGUCCCU